AGUGUGGGAGAGGCAGAUUUGUGAUAAUUUUCCCAAGAAAGAGCUUCCCGACUGCAGUCAUCAUAUUUUCAAUACAACAACCACACGCUGUAAAGUUAGGUUUGGAAAGUGUAGGAUGUAUAAGCAAUAGGGUAAAUUGAGUUUGUAUACUGAAAGCAACGACAAAUCAAUGCAAUAAUCAAAAAACGAUUUUGAGCAAAACUCGGUAAACUGGUAAUGUUAUACCAAUAUUAUAGUUGUGAUUUUUCCUUUGCAACCCAGAAAUAAACCAAAAUUAAACCAAUAUAUAUUAUGUAUGUAUGAUCGUCAUUUGUAGGUUUUUUAAU
Molecule: non-coding RNA, 326 nt
Organism: Cinara cedri
Lineage: Eukaryota; Metazoa; Arthropoda; Insecta; Hemiptera; Aphididae
Source: the annotation of a GenBank genome assembly